RNAcentral lists this unclassified non-coding RNA (153 nucleotides) under uncultured fungus. RNAcentral's name for it is "sequence contains ITS1, 5.8S rRNA gene". Lineage: Eukaryota; Fungi. The record is from RNAcentral.
GUAUUUAUAAAAAGUUACAUUCGAGGCUUUGAAGUGUGUGAUUACGGCGGGUUACCCCGCGACGGUGCACAGGUGUGUGGAAAACGGCGUGCGGCCAAAAAGGCGCACAGCCGGAAUUCGAUAAUGAUCCUUCCGCAGGUUCACCUACGGAAA